This 1059-nucleotide ribosomal RNA is filed under the name uncultured Cryobacterium sp. RNAcentral's name for it is "bacterial SSU rRNA". It matches the Rfam family "Bacterial small subunit ribosomal RNA", at positions 337 to 1394 of the family's 1533-position model. Lineage: Bacteria; Bacillati; Actinomycetota; Actinomycetes; Micrococcales; Microbacteriaceae. The record is from RNAcentral.
UCCUACGGGAGGCAGCAGUGGGGAAUAUUGCACAAUGGGCGCAAGCCUGAUGCAGCAACGCCGCGUGAGGGACGAAGGCCUUCGGGUUGUAAACCUCUUUUAGUAGGGAAGAAGCGACUGGGUUUUCCUGGGAGUGACGGUACCUGCAGAAAAAGCACCGGCUAACUACGUGCCAGCAGCCGCGGUAAUACGUAGGGUGCAAGCGUUGUCCGGAAUUAUUGGGCGUAAAGAGCUCGUAGGCGGUUUGUCGCGUCUGCUGUGAAAACCCGAGGCUCAACCUCGGGCCUGCAGUGGGUACGGGCAGACUAGAGUGCGGUAGGGGAGAUUGGAAUUCCUGGUGUAGCGGUGGAAUGCGCAGAUAUCAGGAGGAACACCAAUGGCGAAGGCAGAUCUCUGGGCCGUAACUGACGCUGAGGAGCGAAAGCAUGGGGAGCGAACAGGAUUAGAUACCCUGGUAGUCCAUGCCGUAAACGUUGGGAACUAGAUGUGGGGACCAUUCCACGGUCUCCGUGUCGCAGCUAACGCAUUAAGUUCCCCGCCUGGGGAGUACGGCCGCAAGGCUAAAACUCAAAGGAAUUGACGGGGGCCCGCACAAGCGGCGGAGCAUGCGGAUUAAUUCGAUGCAACGCGAAGAACCUUACCAAGGCUUGACAUAUACCGGAAACGGCUGGAAACAGUCGCCCCGCAAGGUCGGUAUACAGGUGGUGCAUGGUUGUCGUCAGCUCGUGUCGUGAGAUGUUGGGUUAAGUCCCGCAACGAGCGCAACCCUCGUCCUAUGUUGCCAGCACGUAAUGGUGGGAACUCAUGGGAUACUGCCGGGGUCAACUCGGAGGAAGGUGGGGAUGACGUCAAAUCAUCAUGCCCCUUAUGUCUUGGGCUUCACGCAUGCUACAAUGGCCGGUACAAAGGGCUGCGAUACCGCAAGGUGGAGCGAAUCCCAAAAAGCCGGUCUCAGGUCGGAUUGAGGUCUGCAACUCGACCUCAUGAAGUCGGAGUCGCUAGUAAUUGCAGAUCAGCGACGCUGCGGUGAAUACGUUCCCGGGCCUUGUACACACCGCC